Molecule: ribosomal RNA, 433 nt
Filed under: uncultured bacterium
Lineage: Bacteria
Description: partial 16S ribosomal RNA
Rfam family: Bacterial small subunit ribosomal RNA
Source: RNAcentral
AACGAACGCUGGCGGCAUGCCUAACACAUGCAAGUCGAACGAGACCUUCGGGUCUAGUGGCGCAAGGGUGCGUAACGCGUGGGAACCUGCCCUUAGGUUCGGAAUAACUCCCCGAAAGGGGUGCUAAUACCGGAUAAUGUCUUCGGACCAAAGAUUUAUCGCCUUUGGAUGGGCCCGCGUUGGAUUAGCUAGUUGGUAGGGUAAAAGCCUACCAAGGCGACGAUCCAUAGCUGGUCUGAGAGGAUGAUCAGCCACACUGGGACUGAGACACGGCCCAGACUCCUACGGGAGGCAGCAGUGGGGAAUAUUGGACAAGGGGCGAAAGCCUGAUCCAGCAAUGCCGCGGGAGUGAUGAAGGCCUUAGGGUUGUAAAGCUCUUUUACCCGGGAUGAUAAUGACAGUACCGGGAGAAUAAGCGCCGGCUAACUCCGUG